This 225-nucleotide unclassified non-coding RNA is filed under the name Hevea brasiliensis (rubber tree). The record is from RNAcentral. Lineage: Eukaryota; Viridiplantae; Streptophyta; Magnoliopsida; Malpighiales; Euphorbiaceae.
GCCUUUCAACACUAAAAGACACCUGAACCAAAUUUUUUAUGAUCCUGAAUUCAGAAGAAUCAUGCGAUCAGCUAGGAAUAAUUAUUCAUUCACAAGCUCAAGUAAAGCCCAAUCUCCAAUAAAAAUAAAAGAUGUAACACCUGGCAUCAUAACUGACAACACAUCCAAUUUAGGUCUAUACCUCACAACAUCUAGUAUGCCGAUAAUUCACAUUUUCACUCAUCA